This 253-nucleotide ribosomal RNA is filed under the name uncultured bacterium. RNAcentral describes it as "partial 16S ribosomal RNA". It matches the Rfam family "Bacterial small subunit ribosomal RNA", at positions 524 to 776 of the family's 1533-position model. The record is from RNAcentral.
UACGUAGGUGGCAAGCGUUGUCCGGAAUUAUUGGGCGUAAAGCGCGCGCAGGUGGUUCUUUAAGUCUGAUGUGAAAGCCCACGGCUCAACCGUGGAGGGUCAUUGGAAACUGGGGAACUUGAGUACAGAAGAGGAAAGUGGAAUUCCAAGUGUAGCGGUGAAAUGCGUAGAGAUUUGGAGGAACACCAGUGGCGAAGGCGACUUUCUGGUCUGUAACUGACACUGAGGCGCGAAAGCGUUGGGAGCAAACAGG